RNAcentral lists this ribosomal RNA (739 nucleotides) under uncultured bacterium. Its description in RNAcentral is "bacterial SSU rRNA". It matches the Rfam family "Bacterial small subunit ribosomal RNA", at positions 8 to 796 of the family's 1533-position model. The record is from RNAcentral.
AGAGUUUGAUCAUGGCUCAGAGCGAACGCUGGCGGCAGGCCUAAUACAUGCAAGUCGAGCGCACCUUCGGGUGAGCGGCGGACGGGUGAGUAACGCGUGGGAAUAUGCCCUUUGGUACGGAACAACUGAGGGAAACUUCAGCUAAUACCGUAUGUGCCCUACGGGGGAAAGAUUUAUCGCCAUUGGAGUAGCCCGCGUUGGAUUAGCUAGUUGGUAGGGUAAAGGCCUACCAAGGCUACGAUCCAUAGCUGGUCUGAGAGGAUGAUCAGCCACACUGGGACUGAGACACGGCCCAGACUCCUACGGGAGGCAGCAGUAGGGAAUCUUGCGCAAUGGGCGAAAGCCUGACGCAGCCAUGCCGCGUGAAUGAUGAAGGUCUUAGGAUUGUAAAAUUCUUUCACCGGGGAAGAUAAUGACGGUACCCGGAGAAGAAGCCCCGGCUAACUUCGUGCCAGCAGCCGCGGUAAUACGAAGGGGGCUAGCGUUGCUCGGAAUUACUGGGCGUAAAGGGCGCGUAGGCGGACAGCUUAGUCAGAGGUGAAAGCCCAGGGCUCAACCUUGGAAUAGCCUUUGAUACUGGCUGUCUUGAGUUCGGGAGAGGUGAGUGGAAUGCCGAGUGUAGAGGUGAAAUUCGUAGAUAUUCGGCGGAACACCAGUGGCGAAGGCGACUCACUGGCCCGAUACUGCGCUGANNNNCGAAAGCGUGGGGAGCAAACAGGAUUAGAUACCCUAGUAGUCC